AGAGUUUGAUCAUGGCUCAGAUUGAACGCUGGCGGCAGGCCUAACACAUGCAAGUCGAACGGUAACAUUUCUAGCUUGCUAGAAGAUGACGAGUGGCGGACGGGUGAGUAAUGCUUGGGAACUUGCCUUUGCGAGGGGGAUAACAGUUGGAAACGACUGCUAAUACCGCAUAAUGUCUUCGGACCAAACGGGGCUUAGGCUCCGGCGCAAAGAGAGGCCCAAGUGAGAUUAGCUAGUUGGUAAGGUAACGGCUUACCAAGGCGACGAUCUCUAGCUGUUCUGAGAGGAAGAUCAGCCACACUGGGACUGAGACACGGCCCAGACUCCUACGGGAGGCAGCAGUGGGGAAUAUUGCACAAUGGGGGGAACCCUGAUGCAGCCAUGCCGCGUGUGUGAAGAAGGCCUUCGGGUUGUAAAGCACUUUCAGUUGUGAGGAAAAGUUAGUAGUUAAUACCUGCUAGCCGUGACGUUAACAACAGAAGAAGCACCGGCUAACUCCGUGCCAGCAGCCGCGGUAAUACGGAGGGUGCGAGCGUUAAUCGGAAUUACUGGGCGUAAAGCGCACGCAGGCGGUUUGUUAAGCUAGAUGUGAAAGCCCCGGGCUCAACCUGGGACGGUCAUUUAGAACUGGCAGACUAGAGUCUUGGAGAGGGGAGUGGAAUUCCAGGUGUAGCGGUGAAAUGCGUAGAUAUCUGGAGGAACAUCAGUGGCGAAGGCGACUCCCUGGCCAAAGACUGACGCUCAUGUGCGAAAGUGUGGGUAGCGAAC
Molecule: ribosomal RNA, 768 nt
Filed under: uncultured marine microorganism
Description: bacterial SSU rRNA
Rfam family: Bacterial small subunit ribosomal RNA
Source: RNAcentral